GUCCUUGUGGCUUAGUGAUUAGAUCGUCCGCCUCGGAUGCGGGUGGUCGUAGGUUUGAUCCCCGGUCGAGUCAUACCAAAGACA
This is a non-coding RNA of Potamilus streckersoni, 84 nucleotides long. The record is from the annotation of a GenBank genome assembly. Lineage: Eukaryota; Metazoa; Mollusca; Bivalvia; Unionida; Unionidae.